Molecule: ribosomal RNA, 378 nt
Filed under: uncultured bacterium
Lineage: Bacteria
Description: bacterial SSU rRNA
Rfam family: Bacterial small subunit ribosomal RNA
Source: RNAcentral
UAUUGGACAAUGGGCGAAAGCCUGAUCCAGCAAUGCCGCGUGAGUGAUGAAGGCCUUAGGGUUGUAAAGCUCUUUUACCCGGGAUGAUAAUGACAGUACCGGGAGAAUAAGCUCCGGCUAACUCCGUGCCAGCAGCCGCGGUAAUACGGAGGGAGCUAGCGUUGUUCGGAAUUACUGGGCGUAAAGCGCACGUAGGCGGCUUUGUAAGUUAGAGGUGAAAGCCUGGAGCUCGACUCCAGAAUUGCCUUUGAUACUGCAUCGCUUGAAUCCAGGAGAGGUGAGUGGAAUUCCGAGUGUAGAGGUGAAAUUAGUAGAUAUUCGGAAGAACACCAGUGGCGAAGGCGGCUCACUGACUGGUAUUGACGCUGAGGUGCGAAA